RNAcentral lists this unclassified non-coding RNA (216 nucleotides) under soil metagenome. RNAcentral's name for it is "partial contains 5.8S ribosomal RNA, internal transcribed spacer 2, and large subunit ribosomal RNA". The record is from RNAcentral.
AACCUUAUGGACCUGCGGGCGUAUACCUGCGGAAGGAUCAUUACAUGAUUGAACAGAGAGCGGCGGCUUCGGCCAAAGCUCUGUCUGCACCCAUGUCUUUUGCGUACUUCUUGUUUCCUCGGUGGGCUUGCCCGCCGAUAGGACAACCUUAAACUCUUUGCAAUUGCAAUCAGCGUCUGAAAAACUAUAAUAGUUACAACUUUUAACAACGGAUCU